AAGUCCCAAUCCCACGAUGGCCAUAGUAAAAAGGACUUCCCACACAAAAUCGCUAGGUGUUUGGUUACCAGCCAGAGUACUGAUUUGCUGUAUAAAGAUCACACUGGGUAUAGUUGUUAGAGGUAUUAAACCAUUCAUGUGCAUUAACUAGUUUUAGUUUUCAAGAGUGUUCAAAUGGCGAUUAACAUUGAGCUAGUAAACCAUUUUUUUUCUACAUUGAGUUAUUGAUUGGUGUAGGUGCAUCAAAUUUUUACACCAGUGUCAUGUGAUCCUCCCUCUAUAUUGUGCACAAAAUUACUACUAAGAGAACAAAACAAUUUAGAACGAAGUGCAUACCUGUAAUCCCCAAAAUAGAGCAUAUAUGUAUUUGAUGACCAUGUCUGUUUGUGUAGUAAGAGGUACAGCAUUGGCGUAAAUCCCGUAAGCAAAAGAACCACCGGAAGAGGAAUUCCAACACGCAAUAGCAUCUAUAUGGUUGUUCCACUGGUUUGAUGAUAGACCAGGCUGAUUGUGUCCAUUAUGGCUAUGUCCACAAUCAAUG
RNAcentral lists this long non-coding RNA (541 nucleotides) under Glycine max (soybean). RNAcentral describes it as "long non-coding RNA (GMAX_LNC003784)". The record is from RNAcentral. Lineage: Eukaryota; Viridiplantae; Streptophyta; Magnoliopsida; Fabales; Fabaceae.